AUUCUAGGUGGGGAGACUGACGGCUGGAGGCCCAUGAGCUGUCUAGAACUUUGGCCCCCAGAUUUCUGGUCUCCCCACUUCAGAAC
MicroRNA precursor from Cercocebus atys (sooty mangabey), 86 nucleotides. The record is from Ensembl. Lineage: Eukaryota; Metazoa; Chordata; Mammalia; Primates; Cercopithecidae.